AUCGCUUCUCGGCCUUUUGGCUAAGAUCAAGUGUAGUAUCAACUCAUGGUGGAUCUCUACAGACACUGACAUUGAAGAAAAGACAUCGAGGGCUCUUCGCGAUCAAGCAGCUGCCUGAUGAGAGCUUAACCUGCUGACACAGAGGAGGAUCCUAAUGCUGAUUGAGAAACCAGUCUAACUCCUCUGUUCGGCAACGACCA
Molecule: small nuclear RNA, 200 nt
Organism: Pristis pectinata (smalltooth sawfish)
Lineage: Eukaryota; Metazoa; Chordata; Chondrichthyes; Rhinopristiformes; Pristidae
Product: U2 spliceosomal RNA
Exons: 1
Source: RefSeq, a predicted model, not a curated record